UACGGAGGGUGCGAGCGUUGUCCGGAUUUAUUGGGUUUAAAGGGUGCGUAGGUGGCUAAUUAAGUCAGUGGUGAAAUACGGUUGCUCAACAAUCGAGGUGCCAUUGAUACUGAUUAGCUUGAAAUAAUUGGAGGCUGCCGGAAUGGAUGGUGUAGCGGUGAAAUGCAUAGAUAUCAUCCAGAACACCGAUUGCGAAGGCAGGUGGCUACGAUUUGUUUGACACUGAGGCACGAAAGCAUGGGGAGCAAACAGG
This 253-nucleotide ribosomal RNA is filed under the name uncultured bacterium. Its description in RNAcentral is "partial 16S ribosomal RNA". It matches the Rfam family "Bacterial small subunit ribosomal RNA", at positions 524 to 776 of the family's 1533-position model. The record is from RNAcentral.